CCGCGAAUGGCUCAUUACAACAGCCACUGUUUACUUGAUCUUGACUAUCCUACUUGGAUAACUGUGGUAAUUCUAGAGCUAAUACACGCAAUAAAGCUCCGACCUUACGGGACGAGCGCAUUUAUUAGACCAAAACCAAUCGGGCUUCGGCCUGAACGGUGGUGACUCUGAAUAACUGAGCUGAUCGCAUGGUCUUUGUACCGGCGACGCAUCUUUCAAGUGUCUGCCUUAUCCACUUUCGAUGGUAGUUUAUGUGCCUACCAUGGUUGUUACGGGUAACGGAGAAUAAGGGUUCGACUCCGGAGAGGGAGCCUGAGAAACGGCUACCACAUCCAAGGAAGGCAGCAGGCGCGCAAAUUACCCACUCUCGGCACGAGGAGGUAGUGACGAAAAAUAACGAGGCGGUUCUCUAAGAGGCCCGCUAUCGGAAUGGGUACAAUUUAAACCCUUUAACGAGGACCUAUGAGAGGGCAAGUCUGGUGCCAG
Molecule: ribosomal RNA, 486 nt
Filed under: Nematoda environmental sample
Lineage: Eukaryota; Metazoa; Nematoda
Description: SSU rRNA
Rfam family: Eukaryotic small subunit ribosomal RNA
Source: RNAcentral